GUGCUUAACACAUGCAAGUCGAACGGUGAAGCCCAGCUUGCUGGGUGGAUCAGUGGCGAACGGGUGAGUAACACGUGAGCAACCUGCCCCUGACUCUGGGAUAAGCGCUGGAAACGGCGUCUAAUACUGGAUACGAGACGUGAUCGCAUGGUCAACGUCUGGAAAGAUUUUUCGGUUGGGGAUGGGCUCGCGGCCUAUCAGCUUGUUGGUGAGGUAAUGGCUCACCAAGGCGUCGACGGGUAGCCGGCCUGAGAGGGUGACCGGCCACACUUGGGACUUGAGACACGGCCCAGACUCCUACGGGAGGCAGCAGUGGGGAAUAUUGCACAAUGGGCGGAAGCCUGAUGCAGCAACGCCGCGUGAGGGAUGACGGCCUUCGGGUUGUAAACCUCUUUUAGCAGGGAAGAAGCGAAAGUGACGGUACCUGCAGAAAAAGCCCGCUACU
This 445-nucleotide ribosomal RNA is filed under the name Microbacterium sp. 193-3.2-CV-H26(h)-03. RNAcentral's name for it is "bacterial SSU rRNA". It matches the Rfam family "Bacterial small subunit ribosomal RNA", at positions 44 to 501 of the family's 1533-position model. Lineage: Bacteria; Bacillati; Actinomycetota; Actinomycetes; Micrococcales; Microbacteriaceae. The record is from RNAcentral.